RNAcentral lists this ribosomal RNA (365 nucleotides) under Glossilus juniperensis. RNAcentral's name for it is "Leipothrix juniperensis partial small subunit ribosomal RNA". RNAcentral also lists the same sequence under 1 other name. Lineage: Eukaryota; Metazoa; Arthropoda; Arachnida; Trombidiformes; Eriophyidae. The record is from RNAcentral.
CCUGUUCUCAGGAGUGACGGGCGAUUUGUGCAUGCUUGGUUUCUUUUUCUCUGUAAAUUUUUAUUUUUAACAUUAAUCAUAAGUCCUCUUUCAUUCUAAAUCUUUCUUAAAUCCAUACAGUGUGCUAUAUUUAUGUAUCCCGGCUCAACUCACUCAUUAUUCCUGUCUUGAUUUGUUUUUUUAUAAAUUUUAUUUUCUAAUCAUCUUCUAUUCAACGAUUUUAAAACAAUGAUAUAGGGAAUUAUAGAAAGAGCUCCUCUAAUCGUGGGUUGUCUAUUAAUGGCUAGGAUCCCCUAUUCUGGCCUAGCACCGCCAUGUUCUUUAGAUUUCACUUAUAUAGAUACUAUCUAUAAUUUUAGGUAAAA